Molecule: transfer RNA, 69 nt
Filed under: Phytophthora pseudosyringae
Lineage: Eukaryota; Oomycota; Peronosporomycetes; Peronosporales; Peronosporaceae
Description: tRNA-Lys
Rfam family: tRNA
About the family: Transfer RNA (tRNA) molecules are approximately 80 nucleotides in length.
Source: RNAcentral
GGGUACACCCGUCGGUAGAGCGCUGGCCUUUUAAGCCAGUGGUCGUGGGUUCGAUCCCCACGGGGGGUG